CAGUGACCUGAGAUAUAGUUUUCAAAUCAGUCAAACUUGGACACCUAAGCACAUUCAUAGUUGAACGCAUCAUAUUUUGAUGAUCUUAAAGCUUUGCUGGAGUGGCUCAAUUUUUGUGGCAAAUUGAUGGAAGUCAGAGGUCGAGGACCCAGCGCAUAUUAUGAUUGUCAUUGAAGUUGGAUUCUUGAAGUUGCAAGAAGCCGGAACAUAUACCAGCACUGGAUAAGCAUUGGAUGUGGUGCAGUGCCUUGUUGAAUAUUGGAUGCUAGUUAUUUUUCAAUGUUCCAAUAAAAGGUCACAUUUGAUCAACAGGCACUCAAUCUGCUUCAUUCCCUUCAAACUUCAACCAGCUGACAGAGGGUUUGAGCAAAACGCUGUGAAAUUUUUGACUUGUCUGUAAAUGACCUAUUUAAUGUCCCCAAGAAAGAAGAGCCUCUUUUCAUUUUAUAUCUGAUACCAAGUUUACACAAUUUUUGGUAAGUCAUUACUUUUUCUGGGUUUCUUCUCCUUUUUCUUCUUUUUAACUUGUGUGAAAUUUCUGGUUGCUGGCCAAUUGGAAUAAUAUUGCAUCUAUGUCUGCAAUGUUUACAAGUUUACUCUACAUGGUAGCACCACCUCUGUCAACCAACAAAAUUUAAGGUGAGUCUUAGUUUUCCAGCUUUUACAUCAUG
Quercus robur (English oak) is the source of this 671-nucleotide long non-coding RNA. RefSeq lists it as uncharacterized. The transcript has 3 exons. The record is from RefSeq and is a predicted model, not a curated record. NCBI's taxonomy places the organism in Eukaryota, Viridiplantae, Streptophyta, Magnoliopsida, Fagales, Fagaceae.